RNAcentral lists this long non-coding RNA (307 nucleotides) under Elaeis guineensis (African oil palm). Its description in RNAcentral is "long non-coding RNA (EGUI_LNC025099)". The record is from RNAcentral. Lineage: Eukaryota; Viridiplantae; Streptophyta; Magnoliopsida; Arecales; Arecaceae.
UGGAAUCAACAGAGAGUCUGAAAACCGUUCACUGACCUGGGCCCAACUCUUGGACAUACCAAAAUGAUGCAAGCUUAGGUGGAAUUACUCUUGGUAAUCGUCUAAAUUAAAAAAUUUUUCUUCUCAUCGCGUGGUGGAGCCCACCGCUAAAACGAACCCGUGGUACACGCGGAGGGUCCCACGUCUGCUUAGAAUCAAUCACAUCCGGCCGACUUUCUCUGACCGCUCCCGGCAAAUCUGCACCACUAUCUUCUUUCGUCUUUUUCGCUCCUUUUUGCCAGGAAAGAGAGGUCAUGAUGCGAUCGCC